GAUGAAGAACGCAGCAAAAUGCGAUACUUGGUGUGAAUUGCAGAAUCCCGUGAACCAUCGAGUUUUUGAACGCAAGUUGCGCCCGAAGCCUUUUGGCCGAGGGCACGUCUGCCUGGGCGUCACGCAUCGCGUGCCCCCCACAAAUUCUCCGUCAGGGGAGCUUGUGUUUCGGGGGCGGAUACUGGUCUCCCGUGCUCAUGGCGCGGUUGGCCGAAAUAGGAGUCCCUUCGAUGGACGCACGAACUAGUGGUGGUCGUAAAAACCCUCGUCUUUUGUUUCGUGCCGUUAGUCGCGAGGGAAGCUCUUCAAAAACCCCAGCGCGUCGUCUCUUGACGGCGCUUCGACCGCGACCCCAGGUCAGGCGGGACUACCCGCUGAGUUUAAGCAUAUCAAUAAGCGGAGGA
RNAcentral lists this unclassified non-coding RNA (404 nucleotides) under soil metagenome. RNAcentral describes it as "partial contains 5.8S ribosomal RNA, internal transcribed spacer 2, and large subunit ribosomal RNA". The stretch from base 1 to 122 matches the Rfam family "5.8S ribosomal RNA", at positions 35 to 154 of the family's 154-position model. The record is from RNAcentral.